CGCUGGCGGCGUGCCUAAUACACGCAAGUCGAGCGAACAGAAGGGAGCUUGCUCCCGGAUGUUAGCGGCGGACGGGUGAGUAACACGUGGGUAACCUGCCUGUAAGACUGGGACAACUCCGGGAAACCGGAGCUAAUGCCGGAUAGUUCCUCGAACCGCAUGGUUCAAGGAGGAAAGACGGUUUCGGCUGUCACUACAGAUGGACCCGCGGCGCAUUAGCUAGUUGGUGGGGUAAUGGCUCACCAAGGCGACGAUGCGUAGCCGACCUGAGAGGGUGAUCGGCCACACUGGGACUGAGACACGGCCCAGACUCCUACGGGAGGCAGCAGUAGGGAAUCUUCCGCAAUGGACGAAAGUCUGACGGAGCAACGCCGCGUGAGUGAUGAAGGUUUUCGGAUCGUAAAGCUCUGUUGUUAGGGAAGAACAAGUGCGAGAGUAACUGCUCGCACCUUGACGGUACCUAACCAGAAAGCCACGGCUAACUACGUGCCAGCAGCCGCGGUAAUACGUAGGUGGCAAGCGUUGUCCGGAAUUAUUGGGCGUAAAGGGCUCGCAGGCGGUUUCUUAAGUCUGAUGUGAAAGCCCCCGGCUCAACCGGGGAGGGUCAUUGGAAACUGGGAAACUUGAGUGCAGAAGAGGAGAGUGGAAUUCCACGUGUAGCGGUGAAAUGCGUAAAGAUNUUGGGAGGAACACCAGUGGCGAA
This 703-nucleotide ribosomal RNA is filed under the name uncultured bacterium. Its description in RNAcentral is "bacterial SSU rRNA". It matches the Rfam family "Bacterial small subunit ribosomal RNA", at positions 34 to 719 of the family's 1533-position model. The record is from RNAcentral.